RNAcentral lists this long non-coding RNA (1321 nucleotides) under Carassius auratus (goldfish). Its description in RNAcentral is "lncRNA (ENSCARG00000001936.1)". Lineage: Eukaryota; Metazoa; Chordata; Actinopteri; Cypriniformes; Cyprinidae. The record is from RNAcentral.
AGUGUUAGAAGUUUCAAUAUUGUGCCAACACUGUUCUGUUUGCCCAGUGUUUUGGGAAUGAAUAAAUGUUUCACUGGAUAAUGAGUUUACUUUUAAUUGCUUUCCAUUAUGUGGAUUAUAAUAUUCCAUGAUGCAGAUAGUAGCAAGCGGUUAUCUUUGUAAAAAUACUUGUGUUUUUGAGCCUUGGAGUUUUAGAAUAUUUAAAAUUAGGCAAUGAGCUGGAAAUAUUAUGUUUAACGGUGGCAAAACAAGUAAACAAAUAAAUACAAUCCAUAAAUAAAUAAAUUUCCACAUUGACAAAGAUAAAUAAGGCAUCAUAAAUGCACAUAAUUAAAUAUCAGAGUAUGUCAAGUCCCUGUUCGACAUUUGGGGAAAAUUUGUGUUGUUUGUUUUCUAGGAAACCUUGCCAAGUUGUAGAAAAUGAAUAUGCCAUGAAUAUGUAAUAAAACUACUUACAUGUCAAAUAAAAUUAUUUUGAUUAAAAGCAUGUAUUCUUCUACAGAAAGUUUGCAGAGAAAGGUGCACAACAAAUUCAAGUUAGAUUAGAUCAACAGCAUAAACACUUGAUUAAAUAUUUUUUUCAAGUUUAUAAUAGACCAUCAUUUUUUCAAACGCUUUUAAACAUGGUUUAACAGUAGUUUAUUUAUUUUUUUGUCACCUAGCCCAGAAUUCAGUGUGUUGCUUUUUUUUUUCAAAUUUGAAGCCAUUUGGUAAUUAAAACAUUUAUUAUAUUGAGACAUUUAAACUGCACUGUAAACUGAUGGAUGUUGUUUGUUAGUCUCAAGCCACAUUUUUCCUGUUAUGUUUAAUAUGACUAAGGCUGUUUUAGGAGACAUUAAUGGAGAAAUAAGAUUGUUAUUCACAGUAGUACGAUGUCCCCUUAUAAAUAUUUUUGGGAGUCUUUCGACAGUAGUUUUUGCAUGAUAUUUUACAGGUGUAAUAAUAAUCCAAUCUCAAACACCUGUCUUCUUUUCUCACAGAUAUCCUUCUCUCAACACAGCAGCAUCAUAGACCUGGUCCAUUUUUUGGUCACAUUGUUCAGGUGUGGCCCAGGCUGGUUGAAUGCCUGCUGCUGCUGCGAUCCAGCGCUUGAGGAGAGCCGGGUCUUGAGCGGGAUGAUCGUGGUGUCAAGCGAGGCAAGCUCGUGGUUUUGCACGUGGGUUUCCUUUGAUCAUGGGUCCGGCAAAAAGCAGCAGAUCUGAAAAAUCCAACUCCUCGUUGGAAGGAAAACUGGGUCUGUAAUAAGAUGACAGACAGAACGAGCCGAAUGCUGAAAAAACCGUCAAUGGAUAGAGGUAAGUCAGCGGUAUUUAUACUAUGG